RNAcentral lists this ribosomal RNA (492 nucleotides) under uncultured bacterium. RNAcentral's name for it is "partial 16S ribosomal RNA". It matches the Rfam family "Bacterial small subunit ribosomal RNA", at positions 29 to 507 of the family's 1533-position model. The record is from RNAcentral.
AGUGAACGCUGGCGGUAGGCCUAACACAUGCAAGUCGAACGGCAGCACAGUAAGAGCUUGCUCUUACGGGUGGCGAGUGGCGGACGGGUGAGGAAUACAUCGGAAUCUACUUUUUCGUGGGGGAUAACGUAGGGAAACUUACGCUAAUACCGCAUACGACCUACGGGUGAAAGCAGGGGAUCUUCGGACCUUGCGCGAUUGAAUGAGCCGAUGUCGGAUUAGCUAGUUGGCGGGGUAAAGGCCCACCAAGGCGACGAUCCGUAGCUGGUCUGAGAGGAUGAUCAGCCACACUGGAACUGAGACACGGUCCAGACUCCUACGGGAGGCAGCAGUGGGGAAUAUUGGACAAAGGGCGCAAGCCUGAUCCAGCCAUACCGCGUGGGUGAAGAAGGCCUUCGGGUUGUAAAGACCUUUUGUUGGAAAAGAAAAGCAGCAGGUUAAUACCCCGCUGUUCUGACGGUACCCAAAGAAUAAGCACCGGCUAACUUCGUG